GCCCCUUUAGCUCAGUUGGUUAGAGCACCCGACUCAUAAUCGGUAGGUCCCCUGUUCAAGUCAGGGAAGGGGCACCA
RNAcentral lists this transfer RNA (77 nucleotides) under Oleiphilus sp. HI0065. RNAcentral describes it as "tRNA-Met". It matches the Rfam family "tRNA". From Rfam's summary of the family: Transfer RNA (tRNA) molecules are approximately 80 nucleotides in length. Their secondary structure includes four short double-helical elements and three loops (D, anti-codon, and T loops). Lineage: Bacteria; Pseudomonadati; Pseudomonadota; Gammaproteobacteria; Oceanospirillales; Oleiphilaceae. The record is from RNAcentral. RNAcentral also lists the same sequence under 10 other names.